This is a long non-coding RNA of Nomascus leucogenys (northern white-cheeked gibbon), 1420 nucleotides long. RefSeq lists it as uncharacterized. The record is from RefSeq and is a predicted model, not a curated record. Lineage: Eukaryota; Metazoa; Chordata; Mammalia; Primates; Hylobatidae. The transcript has 3 exons.
CUGAAAUCUAAGAGAAAAAAAACAACAAAAAAAACAAGAUCAUUAAUCAUUGUUUCCUAUGUCUGAAACAUUUCCUGAUCUGCCUUCUUCCUUGGUGAGGCUCUUAUUUUUCAUGUCCUAACAGUUCUCACUGCCUAGUUUUUCACUUUAAUGAUUCCUUUCCAACAUCCAUUGGUACUUCCUCGAAACCACUCCCUGCUUAAAGGUACGCCUUGUUCCUAUGGAAUCAAGCCCAGCCUCUUGGCGCUGGACAAAAACACCUCCUCCCUCUGGUGCCAAGUGGCCCUCCAGCCAGGCGCUUCUGCCUUCUGGCCAGUCCAGCCUGCCUGGGGGUCCAGUCACAUUUCAUGCCCUUCUGCCUGUGCUCAAGCUUUGUCCUCUGCUCGCAUGUCCCUUCUCCUCAUGGCUUGGCUACUGAAUGCAUGCUUCAAGGUCCACAGUUCUGAUGCCACUCCCCACCACACCCUCCUCCCUCCAAAAUGAAUGGCUUCAUUGCUGUACCCCUAGAUUUGAAUUCAUUUUCCCAUUAUAUCAUUUAUCUUAGGGCAUUUUAACUUGUCUUGUUUAUCUGCCUCUCCUCAGGAACAUAUUUGCCUCUUCUGCCCCUAGAACUGUAAAUGGAACGGGGAAGUUUUGUUCAACAGAUGUUUACUGAAUUCAAGAGUUUUCUGAAUUAUGUCUAAUGAUCUCAAGGAAACCAUAAUUAGUAAAUUUUAUCCCAGGUAAUGGGAAUCUCUAUUACCAUGCUGAGAUAACUGCAUUUUAUAAACUUGUCAAUCAUCUGUAUUUUAACCUAUGCUACAGGUUUCCUAACCUUUCUCUAGAUGAUAUUAGUACCUGGUUGUUAUUAAUAGCAGCACUAAUACUAAAACUUCAUCAGCAAAAUUGCAGUCAUUUUUUUCAUGUGCUACAUGUGUGAUGUCUUUAGCUUGAUAACUUUCAUUGAAAAAGCAUUACUAUACGUAUUUCAAACCACAAACUCUUCCUAUGUACUGGGUGUGUGAGUAAGGAUGUGUUAAGGACUGUUAUAGGUACAAGCAAGUUCCUGGUAUAUGAAAAAGACGUGGAUCCCACCCUCAAGGAGUUUAUGGGAAGACAGAAUGAUAUGCGUGCUAGCACACAAAAUAUCCACGCCUAAUGUUUUAUCAUUUAGAUUUCUGUCAGCUUCUCAAGCAAAAAUACUUGAAGGGUCUUCCUGACCCUAUAUGUUUGUAGAGGUGAACUGCUUUGUUUGCUGCCACAAGUAUCUGAAAUGGAUCGACAAUCUACCAAAGCAAGCAAAAAGAAUUAAUUACACAUGGAGAAUGUGCAGUGCCUGAAAACACAUGAUAACUCAUGGUUAACUCCAGUGUCAAGCUGUUUUACUUCAUCACAAUUCUUAUGGAAGGCCUAGACAUAAAUAUUAAGGAAGAAAAUAAUU